This 517-nucleotide ribosomal RNA is filed under the name Phialocephala fortinii. Its description in RNAcentral is "eukaryotic LSU rRNA". The stretch from base 184 to 337 matches the Rfam family "5.8S ribosomal RNA". Lineage: Eukaryota; Fungi; Ascomycota; Leotiomycetes; Helotiales; Mollisiaceae. The record is from RNAcentral.
UUGACUUGAAGAUGAGGCUACCGUAACGUUGGAAACAGCGGUUAGGAGCUUACACCCACCCGUGUCUACAUACUAUUGUUGCUUUGGCGGGCCGUGGCCUCCACUGCGGGCUCUGCUCGUGUGUGCCCGCCAGAGAACCAAACUCUGAAUGUUAGUGAUGUCUGAGUACUAUCUAAUAGUUAAAACUUUCAACAACGGAUCUCUUGGUUCUGGCAUCGAUGAAGAACGCAGCGAAAUGCGAUAAGUAAUGUGAAUUGCAGAAUUCAGUGAAUCAUCGAAUCUUUGAACGCACAUUGCGCCCUGUGGUAUUCCGCAGGGCAUGCCUGUUCGAGCGUCAUUUAACCACUCACGCCUAGCGUGGUAUUGGGGCACGCGGUCUCCGCGGCCCUCAAAAUCAGUGGCGGCGCCGGUGGGCUCUAAGCGUAGUACAUACUCCCGCUAUAGAGUUCCCCCGGUGGCUCGCCAGAACCCCCAAUUUUUUACAGGUUGACCUCGGAUCAGGUAGGAUUCGCCCUUU